CAGUCGAGCGCUUGCACAAGAAAGCUUGCUUUCUUGUUGCUUGAGCGGCGGACGGGUGAGUAACACGUGGGCGACCUGCCUAUAAGACUGGGAUAACUUCGGGAAACCGGAGCUAAUACCGGAUAAUGCUUUUGAACACAUGUUUGAAAGCUGAAAGAUGGUUUCGGCUAUCACUUAUAGAUGGGCCCGCGGCGCAUUAUCUAGUUGGUGAGGUAACGGCUCACCAAGGCGACGAUGCGUACCCGACCUGAGAGGGUGAUCGGCCGCACUGGGACUGAGACACGGCCCACACUCCUACGGGAGGCAGCAGUAUGGAAUCUUCCGCAAUGGACGAAAGUCUGACGGAGCAACGCCGCGUGAGUGAUGAAGGUUUUCGGAUCGUACAACUCUGUUGUUAGGGAAGAACAAGUACCGGAGUAACUGCCGGUACCUUGACGGUACCUAACCAGAAAGCCACGGCUAACUACGUGCCACCAGCCGCGGUAAUACGUACGUGGCAAGCGUUGUCCGGAAUUAUUGGGCGUACAGCGCGCGCAGGCGGUUCCUUAGAUCUGAUGUGAAAGCCCACGGCUCAGCCGUGGAGGGUCAUUGUAAACUGGGGAACUUGAGUGCAGAAGAGAAGAGCGCAAUUCCACGUGUAGCGGUGAAAUGCGUAGAGAUGUGGAGGAACACCAGUGGCGAACGCUGCUCUUUGUUCUGUAACUGACGCUGA
Molecule: ribosomal RNA, 712 nt
Filed under: Robertmurraya siralis
Lineage: Bacteria; Bacillati; Bacillota; Bacilli; Caryophanales; Bacillaceae
Description: bacterial SSU rRNA
Rfam family: Bacterial small subunit ribosomal RNA
Source: RNAcentral